ACGAGACAUAGCAUAAAAUAAUGUCCUUCACUUACACUGGAGUUAUAGCCUACUAGCAGGCUUGUCUUU
RNAcentral lists this transfer RNA (69 nucleotides) under Margarites vorticiferus. RNAcentral's name for it is "tRNA-Val". Lineage: Eukaryota; Metazoa; Mollusca; Gastropoda; Trochida; Margaritidae. The record is from RNAcentral.